Canis lupus familiaris (dog) is the source of this 1222-nucleotide long non-coding RNA. RefSeq lists it as uncharacterized. The record is from RefSeq and is a predicted model, not a curated record. The transcript is spliced from 4 exons. NCBI's taxonomy places the organism in Eukaryota, Metazoa, Chordata, Mammalia, Carnivora, Canidae.
GUCAAUCCUGACAGGACCUGGACUUUGGCUUCUGGAAAUAUGGGGCUGCGUCUAUGCUGACAGGAGCCCACAGCCUCCUCAGGAUGCGCCGUGAGUUUUCUGGGGGAUGUGGGGCCAUGUCCAGGCUGACAGGAGCCCCCGGCCACCUGAGGACCUGCUUAAGGCUUCCAGAGGAUGUGAGGCAUAGUCCACAGUGACAGGAGACCCAGCAUCCUCAGGACCCGCUGACUAUGACUCAGGAACACGUGGGGCCACGUCCGCACUCACAGGAGCCCUGCUUCCUCAGGACCCCCUGGAGGACUCUGGAGGCUCCGUUGGGGGCCACGUCCACAUCAGAAGGGACUCCUCAGAACCACAGGACUGUUGUGCCCAAGAUUGCGAAUCCGAAAAACCAUGGAGAAGCCCACACCGAAGCAAACACACGAGGGUUUAUUUACAAGCUCGAGCUUGUGUCCAAGUAUAGCUGACAGUGCGGAGCAGGGACUUCGACCCCGAGGUCCCCCUGGAGGAUCCUGGAGGCGUUGUUGGGGGUCACGUCCACAUCAGAAGGGACUACUCAGAACCACAGGGGGCCUGGGAUGGAUGGACCUGUUCGAACCCUGAACUUAAAGAGGAAAGACCUUCAUUUUCUUGGCCUCCUUACGUCCCCUCCCAUCCUAUCUAGCUCUUUCCCCCUUCCCCAGAGCUCCUGAGAGAGCAAUUGCAAAUGACCUCAGCUUGGCAGGGUCUGUUGGGGGACAGGCCCAGGGAUUUGGGAUCAGGAAGACCUGGGGUGCGGGCAUACGGGCUGUGCAUUGGGAUUUGAUGCUGCAGACUCAUUCCCUAAGGCUAUCUUGACAACUGGCUUUAUACAUAGAAAAGCUCUCCUUUAUCUUUAAAAGAUGAAGAGCCAGUCAAAGCCUUUUUUCUCUGCCCAUCUGAUUGCUCAGAUUCCAAUGUGAGACGUAUUUCCUGUUAAUAAGGAUAAUUUACUAUCCGUAGUACUAUGGUUAAAAUAUUCUGACACAAGUAAUUCAGAGGGAUGAGAGUUUCUCAUCUCUUUCUUCACAGCUCAGUCACUCCUCAGGAAAUGCAUCGUUAUGGAUUUGGAAAUAACUGAGAGACAUUAUUACCAGUGGUCCUAUUAUUAUGUGAAGGAUGCUUCCCUGAGAUUCUUCCCCUGUUUCAACUGACACUGAAACACUUUGAACUCUUUGGAAGACAAAUGUCAAGGAAAUAAAUG